This 1081-nucleotide ribosomal RNA is filed under the name Vibrio pectenicida. Its description in RNAcentral is "bacterial SSU rRNA". It matches the Rfam family "Bacterial small subunit ribosomal RNA", at positions 462 to 1533 of the family's 1533-position model. Lineage: Bacteria; Pseudomonadati; Pseudomonadota; Gammaproteobacteria; Vibrionales; Vibrionaceae. The record is from RNAcentral.
CAUUCAUUUGACGUUAGCUGCAGAAGAAGCACCGGCUAACUCCGUGCCAGCAGCCGCGGUAAUACGGAGGGUGCGAGCGUUAAUCGGAAUUACUGGGCGUAAAGCGCAUGCAGGUGGAUGAUUAAGUCAGAUGUGAAAGCCCGGGGCUCAACCUCGGAAUAGCAUUUGAAACUGGUCAUCUAGAGUACUGUAGAGGGGGGUAGAAUUUCAGGUGUAGCGGUGAAAUGCGUAGAGAUCUGAAGGAAUACCAGUGGCGAAGGCGGCCCCCUGGACAGAUACUGACACUCAGAUGCGAAAGCGUGGGGAGCAAACAGGAUUAGAUACCCUGGUAGUCCACGCCGUAAACGAUGUCUACUUGGAGGUUGUGGCCUUGAGCCGUGGCUUUCGGAGCUAACGCGUUAAGUAGACCGCCUGGGGAGUACGGUCGCAAGAUUAAAACUCAAAUGAAUUGACGGGGGCCCGCACAAGCGGUGGAGCAUGUGGUUUAAUUCGAUGCAACGCGAAGAACCUUACCUACUCUUGACAUCCAGAGAAGCCAGCGGAGACGCAGGUGUGCCUUCGGGAGCUCUGAGACAGGUGCUGCAUGGCUGUCGUCAGCUCGUGUUGUGAAAUGUUGGGUUAAGUCCCGCAACGAGCGCAACCCUUAUCCUUGUUUGCCAGCGAGUAAUGUCGGGAACUCCAGGGAGACUGCCGGUGAUAAACCGGAGGAAGGUGGGGACGACGUCAAGUCAUCAUGGCCCUUACGAGUAGGGCUACACACGUGCUACAAUGGCGCAUACAGAGGGCGGCCAACUUGCAAAAGUGAGCGAAUCCCAAAAAGUGCGUCGUAGUCCGGAUUGGAGUCUGCAACUCGACUCCAUGAAGUCGGAAUCGCUAGUAAUCGUGGAUCAGAAUGCCACGGUGAAUACGUUCCCGGGCCUUGUACACACCGCCCGUCACACCAUGGGAGUGGGCUGCAAAAGAAGUAGGUAGUUUAACCUUCGGGAGAACGCUUACCACUUUGUGGUUCAUGACUGGGGUGAAGUCGUAACAAGGUAGCGCUAGGGGAACCUGGCGCUGGAUCACCUCCUUAUACGAUGAU